This 497-nucleotide ribosomal RNA is filed under the name uncultured bacterium. RNAcentral describes it as "partial 16S ribosomal RNA". It matches the Rfam family "Bacterial small subunit ribosomal RNA", at positions 28 to 507 of the family's 1533-position model. The record is from RNAcentral.
GAUGAACGCUGGCGGCGUGCCUAAUACAUGCAAGUCGAGCGAACGGACGAGAAGCUUGUUUCUUUGAUGUUAGCGGCGGACGUGUGAGUAACACGUGGAUAACCUACCUAUAAGACUGGUAUAACUUCGGGACACCGUAUCUAAUACCGUAUAAUAUUUUUAACCGCAUGGUUCAACAGUGAAAGACGUUCUUUCUGUCACUUCUAGAUGGAUCCGCGCUUCAUUAGCUAGUUGUUAAGGUACCGGCUUACCAAGGCAACGAUGCAUAGCCGACCUGAGAGGGUGAUAGGCGACCCUAGAACUGAGACACGGUCCAGACGACUGCGAGAGGGAGCAGUAGGGAAUGGGACGCAGUAGGGGAGAGCAUUACGCAACAGCGGAGAGUGAGUGAUGGGGAUGUUCGGAUCGUAAAACUCUGUUAUUGGGGAAGAACAUAUGUGUAAGUAGCAGUGCAGAUAGUGACGGUACCUAAACAGAAAGCCACGGCUAACUACGUG